GGGAAUCAGCCAGUCAGAGCACAGUAGCCUCAGAUAAAAAGGAGCUGCAGAGGCUAAGAUGAUCAGUUACUGACUAGAACCAGAGCGGCGAAGAGGGACUGAAAGGCUGUGAAACACCACAGCAGUAGCUGAGCUAUAGAAGGGGCCAGCUAGAAUGGUGGAGAAUUCCAUGGCCCAGAUCUUGGGCUGCUGGCACAAAGUAACUCUAGAACCAGUGUUGCUAGCCAUGGAGGUGUCAUGUAAGCUCCAACUUGGCUUUGACCUUCAGCCUGCUUCAGGUCUCUGAAUAUGAUCCUGAUUUGGCUUGUCUACAGACUCUGACCAGCAGCUUGUCCCCACACCUUGGUUUAGUGUUGCCCUCACCCCAGUCCUGACUCUACAGCCAGCUGCAACCUUUGCUACCUGUACUUGACCACAACUCCAACCACCAGGACUGACUGCCUAGAACCCAGAGCCUGCCACCAUGAUCUGACCCAGAAUGACACUUCUUGUGUUCUAAAAAUAUUUUUAUUUGUUCCUUUUCAGACUAAGCCCUUUUAGGUGCAAUGAACAAUAUUUACUUUUGUUGCUGUUUAUCUUAAUUAUACCAACUAAUACAGAACAAGGAAAAAUCUGUUUUGAAUUAAUAUUUUUCCAACACUGACGGCUGCAACCCUUUAAUUAUUCUCCUGGGUCUAGUAUUGAAGUUAUAUUAAUAAGCAUUUGAGUUCAUCCAGAAGUAAUAGCUGAACCUGUUAUUGGAUUUAGCAUCCCCCUAUCUUGUAUAUCUGGCUUUACCGUAUGCUUUAUGAUGAACUCAUUAAUUUUAUUCUAUCUCGCAUAAUAGACAAAUCACAAUAGGAGGCUGAGCUUUGAAGUUGUUUUAUCCGGUGAUGGAGUUCCCUUUACAGAGAGUUGGAAAAGAAAAUAUUUAGGGCAUGAAUGUUCUAAAUGUGCACAUCCUGUCUGAGGAAAAGAGAAACCAGGAAAUUUUAAUGUUUCUUUUACACUAAGGGAUAUUUUGAAAUGAGAGACCUGUUUUUAGUGGUGCUAAUGCCUUUAUGAAGCAAAACAAUCUCCUAAUAAGUGGGUAAAAUGGUAGGGCUUUUGCUCCAAUCCUACACACUACUCUACACAGGCAGACUCCUAAGACUGCUGGGUGAUAUUGCCCCUUCCCUAGGCUUCAGAGCGUGAGCCACAACUUCAGAGCACUGUCUAGGCAGCUAUUUUUAGUGACCUCUCUAGCCCAAGUCAGUUGACCCAGGCUGCGGGGCUUGCUGCCAUAGGUGUGUAGACGUACCCCGUUCAAGUCAGUGGGAAAGCUCCCGCUGACUUCAGUGUGGCCAGGAUUUCAGGUGUUGGCUUCAGCAUAGCCCUGAAUACCAUGCAGGAUCGCAGUUCAGUUUGCAAACACCAUCUGUGAUGUCACGUUCCUGCUCCUUCGAAGAUUGCCAGAGAUUAAAGAGCUAAUAGGGAAUUUGUAUGUCUAAUGUGGCAGACAAGCACAAUACAAAUUGUUGAAAGAAAACCAUUUAAGUUAUACAUCAAAAAUGAACCGGA
This is a long non-coding RNA of Dermochelys coriacea (leatherback sea turtle), 1539 nucleotides long. RefSeq lists it as uncharacterized. Lineage: Eukaryota; Metazoa; Chordata; Testudines; Dermochelyidae. The transcript is spliced from 3 exons. The record is from RefSeq and is a predicted model, not a curated record.